This 252-nucleotide ribosomal RNA is filed under the name uncultured bacterium. RNAcentral describes it as "partial 16S ribosomal RNA". It matches the Rfam family "Bacterial small subunit ribosomal RNA", at positions 524 to 776 of the family's 1533-position model. The record is from RNAcentral.
UACGUAGGGCGCAAGCGUUGUCCGGAAUUAUUGGGCGUAAAGAGCUCGUAGGCGGCCUGUCGCGUCUGCUGUGAAAUCCCGGGGCUCAACCCGGGCCUGCAGUGGAUACGGGCUGGCUGGAGGCAGGCAGGGGAGAACGGAAUUCCUGGUGUAGCGGUGAAAUGCGCAGAUAUCAGGAGGAACACCGGUGGCGAAGGCGGUUCUCUGGGCCUGUUCUGACGCUGAGGAGCGAAAGCGUGGGGAGCGAACAGG